Molecule: long non-coding RNA, 206 nt
Filed under: Elaeis guineensis (African oil palm)
Lineage: Eukaryota; Viridiplantae; Streptophyta; Magnoliopsida; Arecales; Arecaceae
Description: long non-coding RNA (EGUI_LNC037915)
Source: RNAcentral
GGUGAUCCUAUUAAACUUGAUAAAAAUAAUGAGGAUCCGAUCAUCUAUAUAGAUGCUAUAAAAAAAUCUAACUCUAAUAAGUGGCUUGAAGCUAUGAAGUCCAAAAUGAAGUCUAUGAAGAUCAACGAUGUACGAACAUUUAUUGAUCUACUUAAAGGGGUAAAACUCAUAGGGUAUAAAUAGAUUUUCAAAAGAAAAAGAGGCAC